GGCCCGGUAGCUCAGUUGGUUAGAGCGCCAGCCUGUCACGUUGGAGGUCGAGGGUUCGAACCCCUUCCGGGUCG
RNAcentral lists this transfer RNA (74 nucleotides) under Faecalibacterium sp. CAG:74_58_120. RNAcentral describes it as "tRNA-Asp". It matches the Rfam family "tRNA". From Rfam's summary of the family: Transfer RNA (tRNA) molecules are approximately 80 nucleotides in length. Their secondary structure includes four short double-helical elements and three loops (D, anti-codon, and T loops). Further hydrogen bonds mediate the characteristic L-shaped molecular structure. tRNAs have two regions of fundamental functional importance: the anti-codon, which is responsible for specific mRNA codon recognition, and the 3' end, to which the tRNAs corresponding amino acid is attached (by aminoacyl-tRNA synthetases). tRNAs cope with the degeneracy of the genetic code in two manners: having more than one tRNA (with a specific anti-codon) for a particular amino acid; and 'wobble' base-pairing, i.e. permitting non-standard base-pairing at the 3rd anti-codon position. The record is from RNAcentral. Lineage: Bacteria; Bacillati; Bacillota; Clostridia; Eubacteriales; Oscillospiraceae.